UACGUAGGUGGCAAGCGUUGUCCGGAUUUACUGGGCGUAAAGGGAGCGUAGGCGGAUUUUUAAGUGAGAUGUGAAAUACCCGGGCUUAACUUGGGUGCUGCAUUUCAAACUGGAAGUCUAGAGUGCAGGAGAGGAGAAUGGAAUUCCUAGUGUAGCGGUGAAAUGCGUAGAGAUUAGGAAGAACACCAGUGGCGAAGGCGAUUCUCUGGACUGUAACUGACACUGAGGCACGAAAGCGUGGGGAGCAAACAGGAUUAGAUACCCGGGUAGU
Molecule: ribosomal RNA, 271 nt
Filed under: uncultured prokaryote
Description: partial 16S ribosomal RNA
Rfam family: Bacterial small subunit ribosomal RNA
Source: RNAcentral